This 460-nucleotide ribosomal RNA is filed under the name uncultured bacterium. Its description in RNAcentral is "partial 16S ribosomal RNA". It matches the Rfam family "Bacterial small subunit ribosomal RNA", at positions 338 to 795 of the family's 1533-position model. The record is from RNAcentral.
CCUACGGGUGGCAGCAGUGAGGAAUAUUGGUCAAUGGGCGCGAGCCUGAACCAGCCAAGCAGCGUGAAGGAUGACUGCCCUACGGGUUGUAAACUUCUUUUAUAAAGGAAUAAAGUGAGGCACGUGUGCCUUUCUGUAUGUACUUUACGAAUAAGGAUCGGCUAACUCCGUGCCAGCAGCCGCGGUAAUACGGAGGAUCCGAGCGUUAUCCGGAUUUAUUGGGUUUAAAGGGAGCGUAGAUGGGUUGUUAAGUCAGUUGUGAAAGUUUGCGGCUCAACCGUAAAAUUGCAAUUGGUACUGGCAGCCUGGAGAGCAGUUGAGGUAGGCGGAAUUCGUGGUGUAGCGGUGAAAUGCUUAGAUAUCACGAAGAACUCCGAUUGCGAAGGCAGCCUACUAAGCUGCCACUGACAUUGAUGCUCGAAAGUGUGGGGAUCAAACAGGAUUAGAUACCCUUGUAGUC